AUGGAGCGCCUCCGACGCUGCCAAGAGUGCCUCCAUCCCCUGGAGAUGGAGAGGGUGGCGGUCGGGCGGUGCGGCCACCGAAACAUCUGCUCAGAGUGCUCACUGACGGACCGCUGUCGCCGCAAGCUUACAUGCCCGUCUUGCGGCGCCCGCUGCCCCACCGUCCUCAUCACCCGUGCGACGGAGAUGACCGGGGAUAGCGCCGUCCUCCGCUGGACGAGGCCGGCGGCGUCCAGGGAGGGACGCGUUGGCAAGUACUGGUACCACAAAGCGUCGACAUCGUAUUUCGACGAUGAGGAGCAGUACAAGCUAGCCAAGUUGUGCCUCCCAGAUGAGGCCAUGAAAAAAACUGGGGCAGGCGCAUGUACGUGCACAAUUAUGUGA
RNAcentral lists this ribosomal RNA (384 nucleotides) under Triticum aestivum (bread wheat). Its description in RNAcentral is "partial small subunit ribosomal RNA". The record is from RNAcentral. Lineage: Eukaryota; Viridiplantae; Streptophyta; Magnoliopsida; Poales; Poaceae.